GAAGGUCUUCCACUAGUAGCAGUAUAUCAUUGAUAGCUCCAGCAUUAGAGGUAGUAGUGUUCUUCAUAAGAAAGAGAGUCCUUAUGAUGCCAUCAAUAGCCUGAGCAUUGCUCUUUGUAACAUUAAGCAGCUCCAGAAGGAGUGUAUCAUUGUGAGUGUCAUUGGAACAUGAAGCAGAGCAAGUAGCAUAAUUAUGACAUUGGAUGAGUUGAGGGAGACAAAGAAUCACCACAAGAAGAGACAACAUUCCUUCUCAGUUACUGAGCAUGACCAGUGACGUUGAAAAUAAGCACAAGAAUUCAAGGCGUACACUAGACAUUAGUCAUAUCAGACACCUGUGAGGUUAUUGUAGUUGUGUACAAUUAUGCAAAGAACGUACUCGAGUACAAGCCACUCCUUGAUUAUCAAAACAUAUACUACUCAUGCACACACAAAUUAACUACAUUACAACAACACUUGACCAAAAUGACCACAAGAAGAGACAAUAUUCCUUCUCAGUUCACUGAUUUGUUGGAUCACUUGUAUAACAGAUCUUUUAUAAACUUUAGAAGAGCAUAAACAAUGACGUUAAGUGUAAUUCAACAAGAAUUCAAAGAGAGGACACUAUUAUCAGAUUCAAACCAUUACCACAUGUACUAAUGAUAAUGAUAAAUAAUUUCUUAUGAUACUAUUAACAUAUAGAGCAUAAGGCUCAAUCGUAUCAAACAAUAAACAAAAAUAAGGCUUGCUCUAGAUCAGCUGCAUAGCCAUACGGUAACUGUGAGGCUAACUUUAAGAGCAAGUUACAAAGAUAAGCAAAAAAUACGGCCUAGAUCUAAUUAAUAACACAACUUCAUUAACAAGUACACUAGCUAACACGCCUCUACUAAUAAACAUACAAGUACAAACUAAUAAGUAAUUUCUGUAAUACAUCCGAGUACCAAGUGGCUUUCUUCUUCAAAAUUAAUUUCAAAUUUGUAGUGCACAAUGACAUUCAAACCAUGCAGAGUAGUAGAUCUACAGAUGUUUAGCUUUGCUCAUGCCGUUAGGGGGAGUGCACUGAUUUGAAUUCAUUGGUACCCAUAAUUUACCAGGAUGCACCCACUCUGAAUAAUUAUUUGUCAAUAAUAAUAAUCAACAAGUGCACCCAGAGUAGCCUACACUUAUAUGCACCCACAACUUUCAGAUGCUGGAGAUGCUUUUGGCUUUGUUUAAAAUAUUUUCUUAAAAUUAUUGAAAGAGUAAUAUCUACAUAUUAACCAUGACUACAAAGCAAAAUAACAAAACCAAGGAAAAGAUAAAAUCUACAUAAGCUAAUAAGUGAUCUAAACAACAUAAUAAAAUAAGUAUCAUCAAGAAUGAAAAGCGAAGUUAUUUAUUUGAGCGAUCCUUCCACUUGUAGAGAUCAAUAGUGAGUGUCUGGGGUAUUCCCAUCAUCGAGGAAUUAGAGAAGACAUCAACAAACACUUUAACAGAAUA
Amphimedon queenslandica is the source of this 1458-nucleotide long non-coding RNA. RefSeq lists it as uncharacterized. The transcript has 2 exons. Lineage: Eukaryota; Metazoa; Porifera; Demospongiae; Haplosclerida; Niphatidae. The record is from RefSeq and is a predicted model, not a curated record.